Non-coding RNA from Triticum aestivum (bread wheat), 136 nucleotides. NCBI's taxonomy places the organism in Eukaryota, Viridiplantae, Streptophyta, Magnoliopsida, Poales, Poaceae. The record is from Rfam.
UGUGUACUCCCUCCGUUCCAAAAUACUUGACUUCCAUUUGUCCAAAAAUGGAUGUACCUAUAUACUAAGACAUGUCUAGAUACAUAUAUAUUUUGACAAAUAGAAGGCAUGUAUUGUGCAACAGAGGGAGUAGAAU